UGGGGAAUAUUGCACAAUGGGCGAAAGCCUGAUGCAGCGACGCCGCGUGAGGGAUGACGGCCUUCGGGUUGUAAACCUCUUUCAGCAGGGAAGAAGCGAAAGUGACGGUACCUGCAGAAGAAGCGCCGGCUAACUACGUGCCAGCAGCCGCGGUAAUACGUAGGGCGCAAGCGUUGUCCGGAAUUAUUGGGCGUAAAGAGCUCGUAGGCGGUUAGUCGCGUCUGCUGUGAAAACUCGAGGCUCAACCUCGGGCUUGCAGUGGGUACGGGCUGACUAGAGUGCGGUAGGGGUGACUGGAAUUCCUGGUGUAGCGGUGGAAUGCGCAGAUAUCAGGAGGAACACCGAUGGCGAAGGCAGGUCACUGGGCCGCAACUGACGCUGAGGAGCGAAAGCAUGGGGAGCGAACAGGAUUAGAUACCCUGGUAGUCCAUGCCGUAAACGUUGGGCACUAGGUGUGGGGUCCAUUCCACGGAUUCCGUGCCGCAGCAAACGCAUUAAGUGCCCCGCCUGGGGAGUACGGCCGCAAGGCUAAACUCAAAUG
Molecule: ribosomal RNA, 541 nt
Filed under: uncultured bacterium
Lineage: Bacteria
Description: partial 16S ribosomal RNA
Rfam family: Bacterial small subunit ribosomal RNA
Source: RNAcentral